CUUUCGUCAAACAUGACAACAUAUGGUUUCUCACUAACGUUGCACGAUAGCUCCUUCUUGAUGAAUGAAGCGAUGCCAUAUUUGACAACAUAUGCCGUUUUAUUUUCACCACAGAUGAAUGACUUAGCAAGCUGCGAAUCGGGGAACAUGGCAGCAAAAACGCCACUUAUGUCAUCGUUAGAUUUAAAUGAAUUGUGCCUCGUCACAGUAUGGAGAACCCACAGUACCUCUGCCUUUUGGGUGUCUGGCGGUGAAAUGAAACUUGUUAUAGCCGACUGAGAGGUGGCGUCUGAACUUGUAACGUCGUUAGGUCGUGCUGCAAACAAUGCAGGGAUUAACCUGGCCCCGCUAUGGCUAGCUGCUGCAACGUAACGCUGGUGCUUUCCUCCUUUCAUAUGCGACUCGACAGCUUUGAGCCCCAUGGUCCCUAAUGAAAAGGUCUUUUUGCAUAAUUUACACAUUGCCUCGUUGUUUUUAGCCGGCGCCAACCACCUCCUAAAUGCAUCCUCUUCCAUCCACUUUCGUUAAAUUUGCACUUCCCCAUCUUCUUUGCAUUUUGAACCUCACAUCGACAACCGCGUAAUGGCGACACGCAGCCUGACGUCAGCGUCUGUAGCCGACGUACCGUAAACAGCUAUUAAAUCGCGGAGACUCAUUUCACACAAUACUAAAUCAACUAUUAGAUGUUUUACAGUGGGCCACUGUGCUUUCUCAUUGCCAUUAAGCGCACCGGCAAAAAAUGUAAUACAGCAAUUUUACGGUAAAUUUAAGACCUUAAUUACCCAAAUUUUAAUUUAAGACAUUUUAAGACUUUUUAAGGACCCGCGGGAACCCUGUAUGGGCUGUUGAGAAAUCUAUGGACAAUUUGAUUUGAAUGGAAAAUAAGUUCUUCAAGAAAGUGAUCUGUGUUGCACAAAAUUUAAAAAAUGUCCCCUUAAUGCUGGCCAAGAAGCAUCAAAUGGCAAUUGUCUAUCACAUGGAUGCCAUUUCUUUUUUCAAGCCAAGAGUACAAAGGACAGAGUGUGUAGUUCACGUGUCACAGACUUUUCUGAAAAUGUUUAGGAAUAUCUGCAGCUGCGGAGUCCUAAUUGUUGUACCACACUCGUUUCAUCCAGUGUUUACAUUGAUGGCAUUAAGUACUGCCCAGACAUGGAGGUUUCAGUUGGAUGUUGUUCAGGUUUUCCCAAGUUCAUGCAGAUUGAGAAAAUCUUAGCAAUCAACACUGACAUAAUAUUCCUCUGCAAACCACAGACUGCAUGGUUGAGCAUUUGCUCUCUUAUGAGUUGUGCAGUUUGCAUUUACUGCAAGUUGUUCAGCCUUCUCUAAUAAAUGACCCCUUCCCUUUGGCAGCUUAUAAUAUCCUUUUUUCUUUGUUUUGUAAUUUUAGUUUGCCAUGUCGAUGACUCUUCACGUUACUGUGCAUGACCGUGACAUGUCUGUGAAAUCUUGGAGAAGUGGCCAGCACUUUUCACAGAAAAUCCCAGAGUUUAUUGCUAUGAAUUGUGUAUUUGAAUGUUAAUAACCUCUUCAUAUUUUUGCUCAGGUCUUUGCAAAAUUCAAUCGCAUAUCUGGGGAAAAUCUGAGUUCUAUGCAGCGAUGAACACGCAUUCUGUAUGUUUGACUGAAAAUUUCGGCGAAAAGGAGGAAAUCAGGGAAGAACACUUGAUGAAAUUAUGCAUCAUGUUGACUCAAGUCAUCUGAUGUAACACUGCAGUGCUUCAGGGUCUUCCAAUCCUCUUGGGGAUGACCCAGAGUAAUUUUUCAGGAUGGGUUUCGAUUUAGAUGUAGAUGCAGGCUUCAGCGAAUUAGAUGUUGGACUGCUCACAGUUUUACCUGAAGGCAAGCCUGCCAAACGUCCACAUGCCCUUAACGUGAAUGCAAUGGAGGGAAGAAUUUUCAUGGAUGAUAUCCCAAAUUUACCACAUUCUGUAUGUCUUCACUUUUCUUUGAUCUAUGCUCUAAAUUUAGACCAUCCAAAGGCAAUGAGGAACACAUUUGAUUUUAUUCAGCGGGUGUUUCUGUCUUUUGGACAAAAAAGACAUUUCUGUCUUUUAAGGGUCUCCAAACUCUUAAAAAUGGUCUUUUAAGCUGAACUUGUUUCUGGCAUAUUUUGCUGUAAUUGCAGUUCAGUUUAAGAAUCUUUCCAAAGACACAUGCAGGUUUUUCCAAAUUGUAAAGGCUCUUUUUUUUUUUUUAUUAAAUACUUUUUUGGAGUUUGCACCGUGCCUGUUCUGCAAAUGCUCUAUACCUUGUUUAUGGUCCAGAUAUUAUGUUGUCAAGCAGCAGAGUGCUGCCAGAGGUCUAAGUCUUGAGAACAGAUAGUUUUUUUGUGUGUUGUUCUCAGAGUUUCAGCUGUUUAUUAUGCAAAUAUACAGUUGAGAAUUUCAAACUUGUUAAGUGCGUUAUUUGAACUAGAAAAAUUAUGUUCAGUUUACUUAGAGAAUGUGGAAACCGAUUGCACGUAGUAUUUUAAGUGUACACCACUUAAAAGUGAUACAGUAAACUCAUGUUGAGAUUAGUGGUAUUUCAGAUGUAAAGUGAACAAAUUGUAUUAAAUUUAAGUUAAUUGACUUAAUAGAGUAAUCUACUAAUAAAUAAUUUGUAAGGUUACUAAUUAAUUUAUAGAACAUUAACAAAAAAAAUUAAGUUAACUAGAAAUGUACUAUUAAGUUUAAUAACAAGUUGACAUUACUUGCAUAGGAACAUUAAUAUAACUUCAUUUUAGUAAGUAAGUUUUAUUUGCAGAAAUAAGGCAAUAGGUUUCCUUAAUUUUUAAGUAAACUGAACAUGUAAACUUUUACAGUGUAUGAAGGUAGCACAUUUAAAAUACUGUCUUGUGUAAGACAAUGUAAUGUUUAAACUUUAUUGUACAAAGUAUGGCUAAGUAAUAACAGUUUGAUAUUGAAGACAAAGUGUGCCAUUUGUAGUAUUUUGAAUAAGCCAAAGGUGUUACGGAGCAUAUACUUUUUACUCAAAUAUAAUACACUUAUGGUAUAUUGUUUGUAUGUUUCAAAUACACUUGCAAUUAAUUUGUAAUGUACUUGUAACACAACUAUAAUACACAUAUGGUAUAUUGUUUGUAUGUUUCAAAUACACUUGCAAUUAAUUUGUAAUGUACUUGCAAUUAAUUUGUAAUGUACUUGUACCACAAAUAAAGUAUACUUAAUAUCACUAAUCAAGCAUGGAAUUACCCUA
Molecule: long non-coding RNA, 3195 nt
Organism: Xyrauchen texanus (razorback sucker)
Lineage: Eukaryota; Metazoa; Chordata; Actinopteri; Cypriniformes; Catostomidae
Exons: 3
Source: RefSeq, a predicted model, not a curated record